GUUGUUGUUUUUUAAAUAUUUUAAUGCCUUUUAAUGCUUUACAUCUGUUUUUGUGUCAAUCGUGUCCAUGGAGGGCAAAAGGAUUGCGAGUAACUGGUUGGAGGGUAAUUCUUUGUUGAAACACUGGAAUGAGGUGAAGGUUGUACGAAAGCUCAAGGAUUGUGUUAAUAUGCUCAAGGGCAAAGGCAUGAGACUUACACCGCAGUGAAGUUUAUGGCCGUCCCCUUUUUAUAUUGGAUUUCCUGUUAUAGGUCGAGCUGGAUGAGUUUUGAGAGUUCCCCAGAUGUUAUGAAAGAAGUAAACAUGCAGCAUGAGCGACACUGCUGCUUAGUCAACUUUGGGUUAAAAAAGAAAGCUUGAUGGGUGUGAAGAGGGUAAAUUGGGAUAUGUGUAGAGCCUGGGUUUUCACUUGGGGUUUUUACCAAAGGAAGCGAUUUGAAGAUUAUGUUGGGACUCGUGUAAAAGGAUAGACUUAUGAAAGGUUCAUUUUAUUGGUGGAUUUCAAGGAAAAUGUUAUUGCUGGAGGAAUUUGUGCUUCGCUUUUAGUCCUUUUCGUUGAAACAUUCUGCAAUGCCUUUAUACUUUGAGUUAGCUCCCACAUGACUUGCUUGGAAAUUAGUAUGCGUCUCUUGGGAAGGUCAACUUUCAACCAAAAAUUGUUAUAAAAUGUGAAUAUAGUGUCUAAUAUGAAAUACUGCAUGUUGAAAUGCUUGUACCGCCUUUGCAACUUAUACGUCCUUUUCUUUUAAUUUGAUGCAUUUCCGGUUUUUUGUGAUUGAAUUUAUGCAUUUAGCCAAACUUCUGAAUAUCACAAAAAAUUUAUCCGCUCAUUAAUGGAGAUUAAAUUUUCCUUUGGUUUGGCAAAUAUAUAGAUUAGUACGGCCUAAACUUUUUCUGUUUGAGAUAUAUUAUGUGUCCUAUGUGGUUGUUAAUGCAUAUAUUUGUUUUUAUCCCCAUGCUAGAGGAAUGCUGCAUUUUGCCUUCUUAUACGAAGUUAUUGCCUAUGCCUGGAGAAAUGUUUGCUAAUCCAUUGGUUUCGAGGUCCAUGUGAAGUUCUCCAAAUGUAGUUUUUGCUAGAUAACCAGGUUUUAGUUGUCCUUAUAUUUUGAUCCUUAUGCCUAUAGAUUUCCUAAUCAUGGACAUGUUGUUGGGUCUUGUAUUGAAAGUAAUAAUUUCCAUGUUCUUUUUCUUAAUGAUAC
This is a long non-coding RNA of Dioscorea cayenensis subsp. rotundata (Guinea yam), 1199 nucleotides long. RefSeq lists it as uncharacterized. Lineage: Eukaryota; Viridiplantae; Streptophyta; Magnoliopsida; Dioscoreales; Dioscoreaceae. The transcript is spliced from 6 exons. The record is from RefSeq and is a predicted model, not a curated record.